Molecule: transfer RNA, 73 nt
Filed under: Mycetomoellerius zeteki
Lineage: Eukaryota; Metazoa; Arthropoda; Insecta; Hymenoptera; Formicidae
Description: Trachymyrmex zeteki tRNA
Rfam family: tRNA
About the family: Transfer RNA (tRNA) molecules are approximately 80 nucleotides in length. Their secondary structure includes four short double-helical elements and three loops (D, anti-codon, and T loops).
Source: Rfam by way of RNAcentral
GCCUCGAUAGUUAAAUUGCUUAGGACGCUCGUACGGAAUACAAGAGAUCCGGGUUCGAUUCCCGGCCGAGGUA